AAAUUGGUUUUGUAUUCAAAUAUUUAGAUAUUGGAACGCCGCGACUGCUCGACAUAAUAGUAUUUUUUCGCUUUUAGAAUAGUAAUUUCUUUAUAUUUGUUAUAUAUUAUUUCUGUCUAUUGAACCAUAGUAAUGUAUUAUUGUUUUAAAAUAUAAAACUAAGCAAUUUGGGGGAAGAGGAAGCACCAAGAUGGGACAGAAACACCGAGAAACAUGACAUAGGAAUAGAUGUAGGUAGGGUAGGUA
Non-coding RNA from Cinara cedri, 246 nucleotides. The record is from the annotation of a GenBank genome assembly. NCBI's taxonomy places the organism in Eukaryota, Metazoa, Arthropoda, Insecta, Hemiptera, Aphididae.